This 421-nucleotide ribosomal RNA is filed under the name uncultured bacterium. Its description in RNAcentral is "partial 16S ribosomal RNA". It matches the Rfam family "Bacterial small subunit ribosomal RNA", at positions 360 to 774 of the family's 1533-position model. The record is from RNAcentral.
AAUCUUCCACAAUGGACGAAAGUCUGAUGGAGCAAUGCCGCGUGAGUGAAGAAGGGUUUCGGCUCGUAAAACUCUGUUGUUAAAGAAGAACACUCUUGAGAGUAACUGUUCAGGAGUUGACGGUAUUUAACCAGAAAGCCACGGCUAACUACGUGCCAGCAGCCGCGGUAAUACGUAGGUGGCAAGCGUUGUCCGGAUUGAUUGGGCGUAAACCGAGCGAAGGCGGUUUUUAAAGCCUAUGGGAAAGCCUUUGGCUUAACCGGAGGAGGGGAACGGAAAACUGGGGAACUGAGGGGAGAAGAAGACAGGGGAACUCCAUGUGUAGCGGUGGAAUGCGUAGAUAUAUGGAAGAACACCAGUGGCGAAGGCGGCUGUCUAGUCUGUAACUGACGCUGAGGCUCGAAAGCAUGGGUAGCAAACA